UCAAAUGAAUUUAUAUAAGUUAAUAUUCCCGAAUUCUUAAGAGCUAAAAAAUUAUAUAUUUUAAUGUGAAAUAAUUAUUUAUAAUAUUUUUUUUGUAAUUAUAUGUUAGUCGGGUAAGAAUAUAUCUGGUUUUUUAAGAAAUUAAUUUAAUUAAGCCUAUUAAGAAAAUUUUAUUUAUUUUUAAAUUAUUUUUUUAUAAUAGCGUAAUAAUUUGAGGGAUAAGCUUUAAAUUAGAUUUUUAAAAUAUUGAUAGUUGUUGAUAAUAUAUAGGAUUAGAAGUGUUCAAUAUUUAAAGUGUGUUAUUACAAAUUAUUUAUUUAUUUGAUUUAUUAUUUAUUUAAAUAUUAUAUUGAAAUUAUAAGUUUAUUAAAUUAUCUUAUGUAAUAAUGAUAAAAUUAGUAUAAUAAUUUGUUAAAAAGAAAUUUUGAUUUUAAGGUUAAUUAAAGGAACUCGGCAAAAUUAAAUUUUCUGCCUGUUUAAUAAAAACAUGGCCUUUUGAUAAUAAUUUAAGGUCUGACCUGCCCAAUGAUUUUUUUAAUGGCCGCGGUAUUUUGACCGUGCAAAGGUAGCAUAAUCAUUAGUUUUUUAAUUGAAAGCUGGAAUGAAUGGUUGGACAAGAAAAUUUCUGUCUCUGGUUGAUUUUUUAGAAUUUUAUUUUUUAGUAAGAAAGCUUAAAUUUUUUUAAGGGACGAGAAGACCCUAUAGAAUUUUAUAUAUAUAUAGGUUUUCAAUUUUUAGAAUAAUUAUUUUGUGAUUUAUUGUAUAUAUUUUGUUGGGGUGAUAGAAAAAUUUAAAUAACUUUUUUUUUGUUUUAGUCAUUAAUUAAUGAAUAUUUGAUCCAUUUAUUGUGAUUAUAAGAUUAAAUUACCUUAGGGAUAACAGCGUAAUUAGUUUGGAGAGUUCUAAUCGAUAAAUUAGUUUGCGACCUCGAUGUUGGAUUAAAAUUAACUAUUAGUGCAGCAGCUAAUUGGUUGAGUCUGUUCGACUUUUAAAAUUUU
This 998-nucleotide ribosomal RNA is filed under the name Colophon eastmani. Its description in RNAcentral is "partial 16S ribosomal RNA". The stretch from base 437 to 639 matches the Rfam family "Archaeal large subunit ribosomal RNA", at positions 1797 to 2106 of the family's 2987-position model. The record is from RNAcentral. Lineage: Eukaryota; Metazoa; Arthropoda; Insecta; Coleoptera; Lucanidae.